UAUUUGAUGAUUAUCUUACAUGGAUAACCGUGGGAAACUACAGCUAAUACAUGCCUAAAUACUUGACCAAAAUCAAGUUGUAUUUAUUAGUUAUAAACCAAAUAUUUGUGAUGAUUCAUAAUAACUGAUCGAAGCGCUUUCUAGUGCUAAAUCAUUCAAGUUUCUGCCCUAUCAGCUUGAUGGUAGUGUAUUGGACUACCAUGGCUAUAACGGGUAACGGAGAAUUGGGGUUCGAUUCCGGAGAGGGAGCCUGAGAAACGGCUACCACGUCUACGGAAGGCAGCAGGCGCGUAAAUUACCCAAUCCUAAAUCAGGGAGGUAGUUAAUAGAAAUACAAAUCCGGUUAGCUUUGCUAAUACGGAAGUGAAUGAAUUGAAUUUAAAUCAAUCUUUGAAACCUAUUGGAGGGCAAGUCUGGUGCCAGCAGCCGCGGUAAUUCCAGCUCCAAUAGUGUAUUUUAAUGUUGUUGCAGUUAAAAAGCUCGUAGUUGAAUUUCUGAUCUUUGGAAACUUUUAGUGAAAGAAGGUCAUCCGUCUGGGAACUAAAUAAGAGAUUUAACCCUCUGUUUAGCAAACAGGCAUUUUACCAUGAAUAAAUUAGAGUGUUUCAAGCAAGCGUUCGCUUGAAUAUUUCAGCAUGGAAUAAUAGAACAGGACAGAAUUCUUUUUAUUGGUUAUUGAAUUUUGUAAUGAUUAAAAGAAACAGUUGGGGGUAUUUGUACUUGAUAGUCAGAGGUAAAAUUCUUAGAUUUAUCAAAGACAAACUAGUGCGAAAGCAUUUGCCAAGGAUGUUUUCAUUAAUCAAGAACGAAAGUGAGGGGAUCAAAGACGAUCAGAUACCGUCGUAGUCCUAACCAUAAACUAUACCGACUUAGGAUUGGUGGGAAUACCCCAUCAGCACUAAAUGAGAAAUCAAAGUCUUUGGGUUCUUGGGGGAGUAUGGUCGCAAGGCUGAAACUUAAAGGAAUUGACGGAAGGGCACACCAGAAGUGGAGCCUGCGGCUUAAUUUGACUCAACACGGGAAAACUUACCAGGGCAAAAGAGCAGUAUGAUUGACAGUAUGAUAGAACUUUCUUAAUUGGUUGGCAAGUGGUGCAUGGCCGUUCUUAGUUGGUGGAGUGAUUUGUCAGGUUAAUUCCUUUAACGAACGAGACCUUAACCUGCUAAUUAGAAAAGUUUAAAUUUCUAGACUUUUUCUUCUUAGAGGGACUACUUAUGUAAAUAAGUGGAAGUUUGAGGCAAUAACAGGUCCGUGAUGCCCUUAGAUGUCCUGGGCCGCACGCGCGCUACAAUGAUGCACGCAACGAGAAUCACCUAAUCUGAAAAGAUCUAGGAAAACUUUAUAGUAUGCAUCGUGUUAGGGAUAGAUCUUUGUAAUUUUAGAUCUUGAACGAGGAAUUUCUUGUAAGCAUGUGUCAUUAACGCAUGCUGAAUAAGUCCCUGCCCUUUGUACACACCGCCCGUCACUCAUACCGAUUGAAUGUUUAGGCGAAUUUUCUGGAUUACUGGCGCAAGCCAAGUAAAAUAUUGAGUAAGCCAUGCAUUUAGAGGAAUGGUAAGGCGUAACAAGGUUAUCGUAGGUGAACCUGCA
This 1590-nucleotide ribosomal RNA is filed under the name Hypocoma acinetarum. RNAcentral describes it as "SSU rRNA". It matches the Rfam family "Eukaryotic small subunit ribosomal RNA". Lineage: Eukaryota; Ciliophora; Phyllopharyngea; Hypocomatida; Hypocomidae. The record is from RNAcentral.